RNAcentral lists this ribosomal RNA (873 nucleotides) under uncultured organism. RNAcentral's name for it is "bacterial SSU rRNA". It matches the Rfam family "Bacterial small subunit ribosomal RNA", at positions 1 to 869 of the family's 1533-position model. The record is from RNAcentral.
GGCUUAGAGUUUGAUCAUGGCUCAGGAUGAACGCUAGCUACAGGCUUAACACAUGCAAGUCGAGGGGCAGCAUGAACUUAGCUUGCUAAGUUUGAUGGCGACCGGCGCACGGGUGAGUAACACGUAUCCAACCUGCCGAUGACUCGGGGAUAGCCUUUCGAAAGAAAGAUUAAUACCCGAUGGCAUAGUUCUUCCGCAUGGUGGAACUAUUAAAGAAUUUCGGUCAUCGAUGGGGAUGCGUUCCAUUAGGUUGUUGGCGGGGUAACGGCCCACCAAGCCUUCGAUGGAUAGGGGUUCUGAGAGGAAGGUCCCCCACAUUGGAACUGGGACACGGUCCAAACUCCUACGGGAGGCAGCAGUGAGGAAUAUUGGUCAAUGGACGAGAGUCUGAACCAGCCAAGUAGCGUGAAGGAUGACUGCCCUAUGGGUUGUAAACUUCUUUUAUACGGGAAUAAAGUGAGGCACGUGUGCCUUUUUGUAUGUACCGUAUGAAUAAGGAUCGGCUAACUCCGUGCCAGCAGCCGCGGUAAUACGGAGGAUCCGAGCGUUAUCCGGAUUUAUUGGGUUUAAAGGGAGCGUAGGCGGACGCUUAAGUCAGUUGUGAAAGUUUGCGGCUCAACCGUAAAAUUGCAGUUGAUACUGGGUGUCUUGAGUACAGUAGAGGCAGGCGGAAUUCGUGGUGUAGCGGUGAAAUGCUUAGAUAUCACGAAGAACUCCGAUUGCGAAGGCAGCUUGCUGGACUGUAACUGACGCUGAUGCUCGAAAGUGUGGGUAUCAAACAGGAUUAGAUACCCUGGUAGUCCACACAGUAAACGAUGAAUACUCGCUGUUUGCGAUAUACAGUAAGCGGCCAAGCGAAAGCGUUAAGUAUUC